RNAcentral lists this ribosomal RNA (814 nucleotides) under uncultured bacterium. RNAcentral describes it as "bacterial SSU rRNA". It matches the Rfam family "Bacterial small subunit ribosomal RNA", at positions 8 to 796 of the family's 1533-position model. The record is from RNAcentral.
AGAGUUUGAUCAUGGCUCAGAAUGAACGCUGGCGGCGUGCUUAACACAUGCAAGUCGCACGAGAACGCUUUAGCUUGCUAAAGCCAGUAAAGUGGCGCACGGGUGAGUAACGCGUGGGUAAUCUACCCCUGAAUUUGGGAUAACGUUGCGAAAGCGACGCUAAUACCGGAUAAUAUCUUUUUAAUUUCGGUUAGGAAGAUCAAAGGUGGCCUCUACAUGUAAGCUACUGUUUGGGGAUGAGCCCGCGUACCAUUAGCUAGUUGGUAGGGUAACGGCCUACCAAGGCAGCGAUGGUUAGCUGGUCUGAGAGGAUGAUCAGCCACACUGGAACUGACACACGGUCCAGACUCCUACGGGAGGCAGCAGUGAGGAAUUUUGCGCAAUGGGGGAAACCCUGACGCAGCAACGCCGCGUGAGUGAUGAAGGCCUUCGGGUCGUAAAGCUCUGUCAAGUGGGAAGAACCUGAUUAUUGUUAAUAUCAGUAAUCACUGACGGUACCACUGAAGGAAGCACCGGCUAACUCCGUGCCAGCAGCCGCGGUAAUACGGGGGGUGCAAGCGUUAUUCGGAAUUAUUGGGCGUAAAGAGCGCGUAGGGGCCAGUUAAGUCAGAUGUGAAAUCCCGGGGCUCAACCCCGGAAGUGCAUUUGAAACUAAUUGGCUUGAGUAUGGGAGAGGGAAGUGGAAUUCCUGGUGUAGAGGUGAAAUUCGUAGAUAUCAGGAGGAACACCGGUGGCGAAGGGACUUCCUGGACCAAUACUGACGCUGAGGCGCGAAGGCGUGGGGAGCAAACAGGAUUAGAUACCCUAGUAGUCC